UACGAAGGGGGCUAGCGUUGUUCGGAAUUACUGGGCGUAAAGCGUGCGCAGGCGGUUCGUUGUGUCGGUGGUGAAAUCCCCGGGCUUAACCUGGGAAUGGCCAUGGAAACUGGCGAACUGGAGUGCGGCAGAGGGGGGUGGAAUUCCGCGUGUAGCAGUGAAAUGCGUAGAGAUGCGGAGGAACACCGAUGGCGAAGGCAGCCCCCUGGGCUAGCACUGACGCUCAGGCACGAAAGCGUGGGGAGCAAACAGG
This 253-nucleotide ribosomal RNA is filed under the name uncultured bacterium. Its description in RNAcentral is "partial 16S ribosomal RNA". It matches the Rfam family "Bacterial small subunit ribosomal RNA", at positions 524 to 776 of the family's 1533-position model. The record is from RNAcentral.